This is a non-coding RNA of Paramuricea clavata, 106 nucleotides long. The record is from the annotation of a GenBank genome assembly. Lineage: Eukaryota; Metazoa; Cnidaria; Anthozoa; Malacalcyonacea; Plexauridae.
CUCUUCAAACUUAGAAUUUUCUCUUCAAAUAUUAGAAUUUACUCUUCGAAACAUGUUUCGAUGAGUAAAUUCUAAUGUUUGAAGAGAAAAUUCUAAGUUUGAAGAG